This 22-nucleotide non-coding RNA is filed under the name Arabidopsis thaliana (thale cress). The record is from RNAcentral. Lineage: Eukaryota; Viridiplantae; Streptophyta; Magnoliopsida; Brassicales; Brassicaceae.
AGCAACAGAGCGAUCACUGGUA